AUGAACGCUGGCGGCGUGCCUAAUACAUGCAAGUCGAGCGAACAGACGAGGAGCUUGCUCCUCUGACGUUAGCGGCGGACGGGUGAGUAACACGUGGAUAACCUACCUAUAAGACUGGGAUAACUUCGGGAAACCGGAGCUAAUACCGGAUAAUAUAUUUAACCGCAUGGUUCAAUAGUGAAAGACGGUUUUGCUGUCACUUACAGAUGGAUCCGCGCCGCAUUAGCUAGUUGGUAAGGUAACGGCUUACCAAGGCAACGAUGCGUAGCCGACCUGAGAGGGUGAUCGGCCACACUGGAACUGAGACACGGUCCAGACUCCUACGGGAGGCAGCAGUAGGGAAUCUUCCGCAAUGGGCGAAAGCCUGACGGAGCAACGCCGCGUGAGUGAUGAAGGUCUUCGGAUCGUAAAACUCUGUUAUUAGGGAAGAACAAAUGUGUAAGUAACUAUGCACGUCUUGACGGUACCUAAUCAGAAAGCCACGGCUAACUACGUG
RNAcentral lists this ribosomal RNA (496 nucleotides) under uncultured bacterium. RNAcentral describes it as "partial 16S ribosomal RNA". It matches the Rfam family "Bacterial small subunit ribosomal RNA", at positions 29 to 507 of the family's 1533-position model. The record is from RNAcentral.